GCCCGCCCCGCCUCCGCGCGCGGCCCUCCCCGGCUCAGUGCCCGGCGCUGCCGGGAAGCGGGCAGAGGGGCGCACCGGGCGGCGGGCGGGGACCUGGGGAAGGCCGGGAGCGCGGGGACUGAGGACGCACGCGGCGGGCCGGGCGGCGCGCGCCUCCCCCCUCCCCCGAGGCCCGAGCGCGAGUCGCCGUGACGUCACUGGCCACCCGCCAGCCCCGCGCUCCUCCGGGCAGAGCGCGUGUGGCCGCCGAGCACAUGGGCCCGCGGGCCGAGCGGGCUCAGGGAGGCCGGGACGAGGAGGGGCGACGAGGAGCUGCGAGCAAGGAUGUGCCUCGGGACCCCCCCGCACCUUCCCGUGGAUUUCCUUGCGGAAAGGAUGUUGACGGUCCCUGUGACCUGUGGAGACACGGCCAGAUCUGCCCUCCAGAGGAAAACCUUCCUGGAAGCUGCAGAAGGACAAAUGCAGAAUCCAUGUCUGGGAGAAACCUCGUGGCCUGGUCUCCAUUAUUUGAGAUGAGUUACAUCUUGGAGGUGAGGACGUGCCUCGUGGUCUAA
This 554-nucleotide long non-coding RNA is filed under the name Piliocolobus tephrosceles (Ugandan red Colobus). Its description in RNAcentral is "lncRNA (ENSPTEG00000030802.1)". The stretch from base 247 to 425 matches the Rfam family "Pvt1 oncogene conserved region 1". The record is from RNAcentral. Lineage: Eukaryota; Metazoa; Chordata; Mammalia; Primates; Cercopithecidae.